UUUGAUCCUGGCUCAGAUUGAACGCUGGCGGCAUGCCUUACACAUGCAAGUCGAACGGUAACAGGUCUUUCGGGAUGCUGACGAGUGGCGAACGGGUGAGUAAUACAUCGGAACGUGCCUAGUAGUGGGGGAUAACUACUCGAAAGAGUGGCUAAUACCGCAUGAGAUCUAUGGAUGAAAGCAGGGGUACCUUCGGGCCUUGUGCUACUAGAGCGGCCGAUGGCAGAUUAGGUAGUUGGUGGGAUAAAAGCUUACCAAGCCUGCGAUCUGUAGCUGGUCUGAGAGGACGAUCAGCCACACUGGGACUGAGACACGGCCCAGACUCCUACGGGAGGCAGCAGUGGGGAAUUUUGGACAAUGGGGGAAACCCUGAUCCAGCAAUGCCGCGUGCAGGAUGAAGGCCUUCGGGUUGUAAACUGCUUUUGUACGGAACGAAAAGUCUUGGGCUAAUACCCUGGGAUCAUGA
This 466-nucleotide ribosomal RNA is filed under the name Comamonas sp. R-28228. RNAcentral's name for it is "bacterial SSU rRNA". It matches the Rfam family "Bacterial small subunit ribosomal RNA", at positions 12 to 472 of the family's 1533-position model. Lineage: Bacteria; Pseudomonadati; Pseudomonadota; Betaproteobacteria; Burkholderiales; Comamonadaceae. The record is from RNAcentral.